Molecule: ribosomal RNA, 498 nt
Filed under: uncultured bacterium
Lineage: Bacteria
Description: bacterial SSU rRNA
Rfam family: Bacterial small subunit ribosomal RNA
Source: RNAcentral
AUUGAACGCUGGCGGAAUGCUUUACACAUGCAAGUCGAACGGCAGCACGGGGCAACCUGGUGGCGAGUGGCGAACGGGUGAGUAAUACAUCGGAACGUGCCCAAUCGUGGGGAUAACGUAGCGAAAGUUACGCUAAUACCGCAUACGAUCUACGGAUGAAAGCGGGGGAUCGCAAGACCUCGCGCGAAUGGAGCGGCCGAUGUCAGAUUAGGUAGUUGGUGGGGUAAAGGCUCACCAAGCCGACGAUCUGUAGCUGGUCUGAGAGGACGACCAGCCACACUGGGACUGAGACACGGCCCAGACUCCUACGGGAGGCAGCAGUGGGGAAUUUUGGACAAUGGGCGCAAGCCUGAUCCAGCCAUUCCGCGUGCAGGAUGAAGGCCUUCGGUGUAACUGCUUUGUACGGUAACGAAACGGUUCUCUCUAAUACAGGGGCUAAUAGACGGUACCGUAAGGAAUAAGGACACCGGCUAACUACGUAGCCAGCAGCCGCGGUAA